This 632-nucleotide transfer RNA is filed under the name uncultured Prochlorococcus sp. RNAcentral describes it as "partial 16S-23S ribosomal RNA intergenic spacer". The stretch from base 241 to 313 matches the Rfam family "tRNA". The record is from RNAcentral. Lineage: Bacteria; Bacillati; Cyanobacteriota; Cyanophyceae; Synechococcales; Prochlorococcaceae.
UAUGAUGUCUGAUUUAUAAAUUUAGGCCCGUAAUCCUGUCACCUUAGGUCGAUCGGUACCUCAGAUUAUUAACUGUGAAAUUGAGAAAUCAUUUAUCAUUAGUCUUUUAAUUUCAGUUCCUAAACUUGUCUAGGUCACACCUAACAAACUUUCUCCUGGGCUAUUAGCUCAGGCGGUUAGAGCGCACCCCUGAUAAGGGUGAGGUCCCUGGUUCAAGUCCAGGAUGGCCCAUUCGUUGUUGGGGGUAUAGCUCAGUUGGUAGAGCGCCUGCUUUGCAAGCAGGAUGUCAGCGGUUCGAGUCCGCUUACCUCCACUGAUCAACUACCUGAUAACUCAAAUUGGAGAUUGUUAUUUGUUAAAUGUGAUUUAGAGUUGUUCAACUGAAGGAACCUAGCUUCCUAUCACUCCUGAAUUAACUUUAGGCUGAUAAGACGCUGGGCUCACUGGAUGUUCUAAGGGAUAUUCAGUUUGUUUCAGCAGAACCUUGACAACUGCAUAGGAAAAUCUAGAAAAAUAAAGCAUCUCAUAGAUGCAUAGAAGUUUUUCAUUUUUUAAUGAUUAGACUUUUAUGUUCAAUUCUUGAGUUAGAGCAAAUUUUCUAUUACUUAAUUCACUUAAGGUUAAGUGAUGAC